This 506-nucleotide ribosomal RNA is filed under the name bacterium KWD-1-9. RNAcentral's name for it is "bacterial SSU rRNA". It matches the Rfam family "Bacterial small subunit ribosomal RNA", at positions 382 to 879 of the family's 1533-position model. The record is from RNAcentral.
CCUGAUCCAGCCAUGCCGCGUGUGUGAAGAAGGCCUUUUGGUUGUAAAGCACUUUAAGCGAGGAGGAGGCUACUUGGAUUAAUACUCUAGGAUAGUGGACGUUACUCGCAGAAGAAGCACCGGCUAACUCUGUGCCAGCAGCCGCGGUAAUACAGAGGGUGCGAGCGUUAAUCGGAUUUACUGGGCGUAAAGCGUGCGUAGGCGGCUUUUUAAGUCGGAUGUGAAAUCCCUGAGCUUAACUUAGGAAUUGCAUUCGAUACUGGGAAGCUAGAGUAUGGGAGAGGAUGGUAGAAUUCCAGGUGUAGCGGUGAAAUGCGUAGAGAUCUGGAGGAAUACCGAUGGCGAAGGCAGCCAUCUGGCCUAAUACUGACGCUGAGGUACGAAAGCAUGGGGAGCAAACAGGAUUAGAUACCCUGGUAGUCCAUGCCGUAAACGAUGUCUACUAGCCGUUGGGGCCUUUGAGGCUUUAGUGGCGCAGCUAACGCGAUAAGUAGACCGCCUGGGGA